CCUACGGGUGGCAGCAGUGGGGAAUAUUGGACAAUGGGGGAAACCCUGAUCCAGCAACGCCGCGUGGGGGAUGAAGGUCUUCGGAUUGUAAACCCCUGUUGAGAGGGACGAAGGCUUGAGGGCAAACAGUCCUCAAGCUUGACGGUACCUCGAGAGGAAGCCCCGGCUAACUCUGUGCCAGCAGCCGCGGUAAUACAGAGGGGGCGAGCGUUAUUCGGAAUUAUUGGGCGUAAAGGGCGCGUAGGCGGCCGCGCAAGUCUCGGGUGAAAUCCCUCGGCUCAACCGAGGAACUGCCCUGGAAACUGCGCGGCUCGAGGCCGGGAGAGGAUGGUGGAAUUCCCAGUGUAGCGGUGAAAUGCGUAGAUAUUGGGAGGAACACCGGUGGCGAAGGCGGCCAUCUGGACCGGUCCUGACGCUGAGGCGCGAAAGCGUGGGGAGCAAACAGGAUUAGAUACCCUUGUAGUC
RNAcentral lists this ribosomal RNA (465 nucleotides) under uncultured bacterium. RNAcentral describes it as "bacterial SSU rRNA". It matches the Rfam family "Bacterial small subunit ribosomal RNA", at positions 338 to 795 of the family's 1533-position model. The record is from RNAcentral.